Molecule: transfer RNA, 72 nt
Filed under: Ceratotherium simum simum (southern white rhinoceros)
Lineage: Eukaryota; Metazoa; Chordata; Mammalia; Perissodactyla; Rhinocerotidae
Description: tRNA-Ala (AGC) (tRNA-Ala-AGC-15-1)
Rfam family: tRNA
About the family: Transfer RNA (tRNA) molecules are approximately 80 nucleotides in length. Their secondary structure includes four short double-helical elements and three loops (D, anti-codon, and T loops). Further hydrogen bonds mediate the characteristic L-shaped molecular structure. tRNAs have two regions of fundamental functional importance: the anti-codon, which is responsible for specific mRNA codon recognition, and the 3' end, to which the tRNAs corresponding amino acid is attached (by aminoacyl-tRNA synthetases). tRNAs cope with the degeneracy of the genetic code in two manners: having more than one tRNA (with a specific anti-codon) for a particular amino acid; and 'wobble' base-pairing, i.e. permitting non-standard base-pairing at the 3rd anti-codon position.
Source: RNAcentral
GGGGGUGUAGCUCAGUGGUAGAGCGCGGGCUUAGCAUGCACGAGGCCCUGCGUUCAAUGCCCAGCACCUCCA